UGAACAUAGAAAUCAGAUUGCUGCUCUGCUCUGUUGCCACUUGCUCUGCAUACAAAUACAGUCCUUUCUUUCUUGCUUCAGGCUGUGUUUCUACUAUAAGCUAAUGCCGUAUCAAUGAAUAUGCGCUAGUGUUGCGUCCACACAGAGCUGUGCUGGGGAUUGUGUGAUGAGUGGUUGAGUGUUUGUUCAUAGGCUGUCGGUUUCAUGUGUUCUCCUCAAAUACUUAACAACAGAAAUAAGAAUUAUAUAAUUUGAUCAUCAACAUGCUUUCCACCUAGCAGCCAUUUUCACAUCUUCUGAGUUCCAUAUAAAUGGAGUGAGUAAAACUGACACUGGUCAGGUUCCAUCAGAUUUGGGAAGAAAAUGAAGAAAACAUCCUGGGAUUUGUGUUGGAGAGUGAAUGAGUUUUAGUUUUAUCCAGAUAGGAAAGUCAGAGGAGAUUGUAGAAUCAGAAGAAAGCAGAAAAACAAAGCUUAAUUUGUAAUUUGUAAUUUUAUGUUUGACUUAUUACAGUUAGGAAAUAUUGACUUUUGGUUUGGGGAGGGUUUUAGCUCAAUGUUUCUGGUUGUGCACAAGUGUGAAAGGAGUGAAAUCCAGCUAAAAGACAAUAAUUGUUUUUAUUAGAUUGUUCUGAGUCGAAAAAAUCAGAUCUCAUGUCUUCUCUCCUCAACAGCUCACUCCAGAAACACCUAACUCUGACUGUCAGACUCUUGUCGUAUCUAUUGUACGUUCCAGUUGUAACAUGUUGAUUGAAUGUGUAUUUUCCUAUGUUAAGAGAUUUAUUUUUAUAUGAAGUUCAGGUGCCAUAUCAGUGUAUAUGUACUGACUCAUGCUGUCAGAAACCAACGCCUUCUCUUCCUCCUGAUAGAGAUUUAUUUCUAUGUGAAAUGACUGAACAUGUAACUAAUAUUUAGUUGCCAGGCCAGUGUGUCUGCAUAAGUAUUGCUACAUAAAGCUGCUGGAUUUAGCUGUUGUCUGUGCUUGUUCAAAUGAAAUAAAGCCAAAUACUGAACAAUGUA
Molecule: long non-coding RNA, 1019 nt
Organism: Amphiprion ocellaris (clown anemonefish)
Lineage: Eukaryota; Metazoa; Chordata; Actinopteri; Pomacentridae
Source: Ensembl